UACGGAGGGAGCUAGCGUUAUUCGGAAUUACUGGGCGUAAAGCGCACGUAGGCGGCUUUGUAAGUUAGAGGUGAAAGCCCGGGGCUCAACCCCGGAAUUGCCUUUAAGACUGCAUCGCUUGAAUCCAGGAGAGGUGAGUGGAAUUCCGAGUGUAGAGGUGAAAUUCGUAGAUAUUCGGAAGAACACCAGUGGCGAAGGCGGCUCACUGGAGCUGGUAUUGACGCUGAGGUGCGAAAGCGUGGGGAGCAAACAGG
Molecule: ribosomal RNA, 254 nt
Filed under: uncultured bacterium
Lineage: Bacteria
Description: partial 16S ribosomal RNA
Rfam family: Bacterial small subunit ribosomal RNA
Source: RNAcentral